This 390-nucleotide ribosomal RNA is filed under the name uncultured bacterium. RNAcentral's name for it is "bacterial SSU rRNA". It matches the Rfam family "Bacterial small subunit ribosomal RNA", at positions 29 to 420 of the family's 1533-position model. The record is from RNAcentral.
AUUGAACGCUGGCGGCAUGCCUUACACAUGCAAGUCGAACGGCAGCACGGGGGCAACCCUGGUGGCGAGUGGCGAACGGGUGAGUAAUGCAUCGGAACGUGCCCAGUAGUGGGGGAUAGCCCGGCGAAAGCCGGAUUAAUACCGCAUACGUACUGAGGUAGAAAGCGGGGGACCGAAAGGCCUCGCGCUAUUGGAGCGGCCGAUGUCGGAUUAGCUUGUUGGUGGGGUAAUGGCCUACCAAGGCGACGAUCCGUAACUGGUCUGAGAGGACGACCAGUCACACUGGGACUGAGACACGGCCCAGACUCCUACGGGAGGCAGCAGUGGGGUAUUUUGGACAAUGGGCGAAAGCCUGAUCCAGCAAUGCCGCGUGUGUGAAGAAGGCCUCGG